Molecule: ribosomal RNA, 177 nt
Filed under: uncultured Photobacterium sp.
Lineage: Bacteria; Pseudomonadati; Pseudomonadota; Gammaproteobacteria; Vibrionales; Vibrionaceae
Description: partial 16S ribosomal RNA
Rfam family: Bacterial small subunit ribosomal RNA
Source: RNAcentral
UGGGGAAUAUUGCACAAUGGGGGAAACCCUGAUGCAGCCAUGCCGCGUGUGUGAAGAAGGCCUUCGGGUUGUAAAGCACUUUCAGUAGGGAGGAAGGUAGUGUAGUUAACACCUGCAUUAUUUGACGUUACCUACAGAAGAAGCACCGGCUAACUCCGUGCCAGCAGCCGCGGUAAU